This 766-nucleotide ribosomal RNA is filed under the name Staphylococcus aureus. RNAcentral's name for it is "bacterial SSU rRNA". It matches the Rfam family "Bacterial small subunit ribosomal RNA", at positions 28 to 776 of the family's 1533-position model. The record is from RNAcentral. Lineage: Bacteria; Bacillati; Bacillota; Bacilli; Caryophanales; Staphylococcaceae.
GAUGAACGCUGGCGGCGUGCCUAAUACAUGCAAGUCGAGCGAACGGACGAGAAGCUUGCUUCUCUGAUGUUAGCGGCGGACGGGUGAGUAACACGUGGAUAACCUACCUAUAAGACUGGGAUAACUUCGGGAAACCGGAGCUAAUACCGGAUAAUAUUUUGAACCGCAUGGUUCAAAAGUGAAAGACGGUCUUGCUGUCACUUAUAGAUGGAUCCGCGCUGCAUUAGCUAGUUGGUAAGGUAACGGCUUACCAAGGCAACGAUGCAUAGCCGACCUGAGAGGGUGAUCGGCCACACUGGAACUGAGACACGGUCCAGACUCCUACGGGAGGCAGCAGUAGGGAAUCUUCCGCAAUGGGCGAAAGCCUGACGGAGCAACGCCGCGUGAGUGAUGAAGGUCUUCGGAUCGUAAAACUCUGUUAUUAGGGAAGAACAUAUGUGUAAGUAACUGUGCACAUCUUGACGGUACCUAAUCAGAAAGCCACGGCUAACUACGUGCCAGCAGCCGCGGUAAUACGUAGGUGGCAAGCGUUAUCCGGAAUUAUUGGGCGUAAAGCGCGCGUAGGCGGUUUUUUAAGUCUGAUGUGAAAGCCCACGGCUCAACCGUGGAGGGUCAUUGGAAACUGGAAAACCUGAGUGCAGAAGAGGAAAGUGGAAUUCCAUGUGUAGCGGUGAAAUGCGCAGAGAUAUGGAGGAACACCAGUGGCGAAGGCGACUUUCUGGUCUGUAACUGACGCUGAUGUGCGAAAGCGUGGGGAUCAAACAGG